UACGCCAAUAUCACGUUUAACACGCCGGUUCUCGUCUGGUCACCGAAGUUAAGCAACGUGGAGACUGGUCAGGACUUAGAUGGGUGUCCGCUUGGGAAUACCAAGUGCUAUA
This is a non-coding RNA of Acanthosepion pharaonis, 112 nucleotides long. The record is from the annotation of a GenBank genome assembly. NCBI's taxonomy places the organism in Eukaryota, Metazoa, Mollusca, Cephalopoda, Sepiida, Sepiidae.